Molecule: long non-coding RNA, 142 nt
Organism: Etheostoma spectabile (orangethroat darter)
Lineage: Eukaryota; Metazoa; Chordata; Actinopteri; Perciformes; Percidae
Exons: 3
Source: RefSeq, a predicted model, not a curated record
GACUCUGCGUUCCUGUCAAACUUCCCUGUCAAGGAAGCCAGUACACUUUCUCUUUGGUGGGAUCAGGCCUGAGCUUUGCAGACCUUUUCCGUCUGGUGGCUUUCUGCUGCAUCAGCAGGGAUGUGCUGCCCUUACUCUGAAG